This is an RNA transcript of Entelurus aequoreus (snake pipefish), 1954 nucleotides long. It is a transcript of the gene named glycosylated lysosomal membrane protein-like, with no coding region annotated. The transcript is spliced from 8 exons. NCBI's taxonomy places the organism in Eukaryota, Metazoa, Chordata, Actinopteri, Syngnathiformes, Syngnathidae. The record is from RefSeq and is a predicted model, not a curated record.
UGACCUGCCGUCAUGUGACCUGCCUUCACAACAAAGAUGGCGGCCGUGCUGAGCUUGUGCGGAGCUCUGAUCUUUUUUCUUCCUUCGAUCACGUGGAGCAGGAAGGUGUCAGUCCAGUUGAAUCCAGGUGCGCUGACUCCGCCCCCUGGUGGCGAUGUGGUGCACGUGAGAGCUCAGGGAGACAACGACACGCUUCACUUCCUCUUCUGCAGCCAGGGGGCGCCAACACUGCUGAUGGUGCACACCAACCUGUCUACUUCUACUCUAUCGGUGGAGUGGUCAGUGUUCCUGAGUGACAACAGUAGUGGGAGUGUGAAGGUGGAACCUGGCAGCAACAUCUUGUACAGCAGGGCCCUCGUCUUCACUAGAUUGUUAGAAUACAACGACGUCAACAACACAGCACAAGUGACCUCUGACCUGUACCCGCCCUAUGACCUGCACAACAUCAGCUGGUCUCAUGUCAAACUGUCUGGAACCUCCGUGCUCUUGUGUGGUCCUCUGGUGCUAGGACUGCUCUGUCUGAAGCUGUCUGCGUUCGAGUCGGAGGGGCGUGCGGAGACUUGGCCCCGCCUACUUCACACAGCUAACUCCUCCCAGAUGGAGGUGUGGCUUGACGGCCUGUAUCCGAGGGCGGAGCGAUCACGCUUCUUCCUGGAGCUGCAGGCAGUGGGCGGAGCCUAUCCCCUGGACAGCGUGGCGGUGCGUCGCUCCAUCGAUGACGAGUUCACGCCCUCCAUCUUCCAGGUGUCUCAGUGGACAUCGGCAACAGAGGACAGCUCCCGGGGGCGGGGCUUCGUCCUGUGGAAGCCGGUGGCGUAUCGCCGCUCCUCGCCCACGCUGGAGGACGCCACGCCGUGUCGCCACUCCCACCCGCGCCCCACCGACGGCCAAGAGGUGGCGGCGGCGUCCAGGCUGGUGAGAGCCUUCUUCUACCAGGAGGUCGCCUACGGACUCAACGUGACCUUUGGCCUGGCGGGAGGACCCUUCUACAACAGCAGCAGGUUCCUCACAUGGACUCUGCUGGUGGGCGUCGGCCUCCCCCCCGCAGACACCUUCUCCCCUCUGCUGCUCGCCAUCAUGGCCGCAGGGCUGGGCGUCCCACUCCUCCUCCUGUUGAUGGGCGGAGUUUAUGUCUGCACGCGCGCUCCAUCUGCUUCCUCUGUCAACAGCUACCAGCCAAUCAACUGACCUCACCACGCCCCCUUUAUCAGCCAAUCAGCUGACCUCACCACGCCCCCUUUAUCAGCCAAUCAACUGACCUCACCACGCCCCCUUUAUCAGCCAAUCAACUGACCUCACCACGCCCCCUUUAUCAGCCAAUCAGGACAGAGAUGGACUCAGGGACUUCUGCUGGGCUUUUGGGGAACUUCUGGAUCUGCCAUGGAGACCAGCUGCUGGGUCUCUGCCACAGAGACAGGACUGCAGAGUUUGGAGAGACUGGUGGAGAUGCGGAUGAAGAGACAGGACUGCAGAGUUUGGAGAGACUGGAGGAGAUGCGGAUGAAGAGACAGGACUGCAGAGUUUGGAGAGACUGGAGGAGAUGCGGAUGAAGAGACGGGACUGCAGAGUUUGGAGAGACUGGAGGAGAUGCGGAUGAAGAGACGGGACUGCAGAGUUUGGAGAGACUGGAGGAGAUGUGGAUGAAGAGACGGGACUGCAGAGUUUGGAGAGACUGGAGGAGAUGCGGAUGAAGAGACAGGACUGCAGAGUUUGGAGAGACUGGAGGAGAUGCGGAUGAAGAGACAGGACUGCAGAGUUUGGAGAGACUGGAGGAGAUGCGGAUGAAGAGACGGGACUGCAGAGUUUGGAGAGACUGGAGGAGAUGUGGAUGAAGAGACGGGACUGCAGAGUUUGGAGAGACUGGAGGAGAUGCGGAUGAAGAGACAGGACUGCAGAGUUUGGAGAGACUGGAGGAGAUGCGGAUGAAGAGACAGGACUGCAGAGUUUGGAGAGA